UAUAUUCAGAUGAUAUGAGAAGAGGUCCUAAGAGUAGUGAGCAUGGGAACAUGAUGGAAGGCUAAAGCUCUCUCAGUUCCUUGUGAAACUCUAAAAGAGACUUUGUUUGAGUUUUCAUGAUGCCUCCCAUGCCUAUUGUUCUUUGGUGCUCCUUCCUCUUCCUUUUGAGU
Non-coding RNA from Triticum aestivum (bread wheat), 170 nucleotides. NCBI's taxonomy places the organism in Eukaryota, Viridiplantae, Streptophyta, Magnoliopsida, Poales, Poaceae. The record is from Rfam.